This is a long non-coding RNA of Myotis lucifugus (little brown bat), 686 nucleotides long. RefSeq lists it as uncharacterized. Lineage: Eukaryota; Metazoa; Chordata; Mammalia; Chiroptera; Vespertilionidae. The record is from RefSeq and is a predicted model, not a curated record. The transcript has 3 exons.
AGUCCACGACGGGCCGGCGUUCGACCCGUGCGGCUCCCCGGGCGGCGGAGACGCUGGCCUGGUGCCAUCGGUGGCGCUAACGCCUGACGCAUUGGCUCCUGCUUCACGGAGCCGUCGAGAUCCGGAGACCUUUAUAAUGCGAACCGCACGUGGAACUGCUUGUUCUGACCUCUCCCCAAACCCUCGUUUUCAGGAUCCAGCCCAGUUUUCCUGCAGGCAGCUUCCUGGCAGUGCUGCAGGUGAAGGCGAUGGUGGAGAUGCAGAAAUGAACAACUGGGAGCUUUGGAUGGACUGGCUGCAAUAGUGAGCGAAGAACAGCAGUGAAGACAUUUUACCCAAUAUCUCUCUCUAGUGCUCUGAGUACCUUGCAGACUUGACCAGGAAUGCUUUGAGCAGAGGGAACUCCGGAUAUGGAGAUGGAAAUACCUGUUGUGAAUACUAGUUAUGACACUUACUAUCCAUGACCUUGGGCAAGCUACCUAAUAGCAGUUGGUAUUUGUUAUCCUACCUGUAAUGAGGCAAGAGGUCUGCCUUCCUUGUUUAUGUAGUUGUUGUGAGAAUUAAAUGAAAUAAUGUUUCAGUGCCUAUGGCACAUAGACACUAAAUAAAUAUUUUGUUUUUUCUUUGGUUGAACCAAACUUGUCUACUCAUUGCUUCUGAAAUCACUUGUUUGUUUUAUGAUUUUA